RNAcentral lists this ribosomal RNA (433 nucleotides) under uncultured bacterium. Its description in RNAcentral is "partial 16S ribosomal RNA". It matches the Rfam family "Bacterial small subunit ribosomal RNA", at positions 29 to 507 of the family's 1533-position model. The record is from RNAcentral.
AGCGAACGCUGGCGGCAGGCCUAACACAUGCAAGUCGAACGGAUCCUUCGGGAUUAUGGGCGGACGGGGGAGGAACACGUGGGAACGUGCCCUUGGGUUCGGAACAACUCAGGGAAACUUGAGCUAAUACCGGAUGUGCCCUUCUAGGGAAAGAUUUAUCGACAUUGGAGGGUCCCUAGUCUGAUUAGCUAGUGGGUGAGGUAACGGCCCACCAAGGCGACGAUCAGUAACUGGUAUGAGAGGAUGCUCAGCCACACUUGGAGGGAGACACGGCCGAGAAUCUUACGGGAGGGAGCAGUGCGGAAUCUUGCGAAAUCGGCGAAAGCAUGACGCAGCUAUGAUGGGUGAAUGCUGAAGGUCUUAGGAUUGUAAAAUUCUUUCAGCGGGGACGAUAUUGACGGUACCCGCAGAAGAAGCUACGGCUAACUUCGUG